UACGUAGGUGGCGAGCGUUGUCCGGAUUUACUGGGCGUAAAGCGCGCGUAGGCGGGUCGCUAAGUCAGGGGUGAAAUGCCGAGGCUCAACCUCGGAACUGCCUUUGAUACUGGCAACCUGGAGUUCGGGAGAGGUGAGUGGAAUUCCGAGUGUAGAGGUGAAAUUCGUAGAUAUUCGGAGGAACACCAGAAGCGAAGGCGGCUCACUGGCCCGAUACUGACGCUGAGGCGCGAAAGCUAGGGGAGCAAACGGG
This 253-nucleotide ribosomal RNA is filed under the name uncultured bacterium. RNAcentral describes it as "partial 16S ribosomal RNA". It matches the Rfam family "Bacterial small subunit ribosomal RNA", at positions 524 to 776 of the family's 1533-position model. The record is from RNAcentral.